Molecule: long non-coding RNA, 563 nt
Organism: Solanum lycopersicum (tomato)
Lineage: Eukaryota; Viridiplantae; Streptophyta; Magnoliopsida; Solanales; Solanaceae
Source: RefSeq, a predicted model, not a curated record
AAAUAUUCUGUAGAAAAAAUAAGGGUUCGAGAAAAGAGAGCGGCUACGUCAAAGACAAUCGUGGCUCUUUCUACUGUGCAGCGAAUGUACCGGCGACUUUGACAUGCCCUCAGCCCUAGCUAGUCGCCAGCAUAUCAAGUUCCAGAUUUGCUGACACCAUGGUUUUCACAAUUAAUACACCGGUAUAAACAAAUAUCUGGUCAACAGAUCAAAAAAAACAAGAGUAGCUUCAUCAUGAAAUCAAAAUCCAACAAAGUUCUAUUUGUCUGUAUUUGAUUCUGGAGCAAAGCAUCAAUGGAUUGGAUGAAUUAAUUUGAGUUACCCCUUUGCAAAAGGCGGUGAUAAUUUUAAGAAAAUUUCAAAUGUUUGUAUGGACAUCAAGGAAAAUCUAUGGUGCAACCUAAGAACCUCUUGUUAUCUUUUGGGACAUUACAUGAAGGCUAAGUACCUCGAUAAUCAACAUUAGAAAGUCAUAUGUGAAGUUAAGUCAUUGGCGGAGAAACAUAGUUACUACCCCAACAAUGAAGGGCAUAUCUCUAUAAAGCUAGACAUUGUUCUUACUA